GCUUAGGGAGGAGCUUGCGUCACAUUAGUUAGUUGGUGGGGUAAAGGCCUACCAAGACUAUGAUGUGUAGCCGGGCUGAGAGGUUGAACGGCCACAUUGGGACUGAGACACGGCCCAAACUCCUACGGGAGGCAGCAGUAGGGAAUUUUCGGCAAUGGAGGAAACUCUGACCGAGCAACGCCGCGUGAACGAUGAAGUAUUUCGGUACGUAAAGUUCUUUUAUUAGGGAAGAAUAAAUGAUGGAAAAAUCAUUCUGACGGUACCUAAUGAAUAAGCCCCGGCUAACUAUGUGCCAGCAGCCGCGGUAAUACAUAGGGGGCAAGCGUUAUCCGGAAUUAUUGGGCGUAAAGGGUGCGUAGGCGGUUAAAUAAGUUUAUGGUCUAAGUGCAAUGCUCAACAUUGUGAUGCUAUAAAAACUGUUUAGCUAGAGUAAGAUAGAGGCAAGUGGAAUUCCAUGUGUAGUGGUAAAAUGCGUAAAUAUAUGGAGGAACACCAGUAGCGAAGGCGGCUUGCUGGGUCUUUACUGACGCUGAGGCACGAAAGCGUGGGGAGCAAACAGGAUUAGAUACCCUGGUAGUCCACGCCGUAAACGAUGAGUACUAAACGUUGGGUAAAACCAGUGUUGAAGUUAACACAUUAAGUACUCCGCCUGAGUAGUACGUACGCAAGUAUGAAACUUAAAGGAAUUGACGGGACUCCGCACAAGCGGUGGAUCAUGUUGUUUAAUUCGAAGGUACCCGAAAAACCUCACCAGGUCUUGACAUGCUUCUGCAAAACUGUAGAAACACAGUGGAGGUUAUCAGUUGCACAGGUGGUGCAUGGUUGUCGUCAGCUCGUGUCGUGAGAUGUUGGGUUAAGUCCCGCAACGAGCGCAACCCUUAUUGUUAGUUACCAGCACGUAAUGGNGGGGACUUUAGCAAGACUGCCGGUGA
Molecule: ribosomal RNA, 932 nt
Filed under: Candidatus Phytoplasma asteris-related phytoplasma
Lineage: Bacteria; Bacillati; Mycoplasmatota; Mollicutes; Acholeplasmatales; Acholeplasmataceae
Description: bacterial SSU rRNA
Rfam family: Bacterial small subunit ribosomal RNA
Source: RNAcentral